GACGAACGCUGGCGGCGUGCUUAACACAUGCAAGUCGAACGGUGAAGCGCUUUCCUUUUUGGUUGGUGUGGAUGAGUUGCGAACGGGUGAGUAACACGUGAGUAACCUGCCCCCUUCUUCUGGAUAACCGCAUGAAAGUGUGGCUAAUACGGGAUAUUCUGCGCCUGCUGCAUGGUGGGUGUGGGAAAGAUUGUGCCUUUGGGUGUUUUCGGUGGGGGUUGGGCUCGCGGCCUAUCAGCUUGUUGGUGGGGUGAUGGCCUACCAAGGCGGUGACGGGUAGCCGGCCUGAGAGGGUGGAGGGUCACACUGGGACUGAGACACGGACCAGACUCCUACGGGAGGCAGCAGUGGGGAAUAUUGCACAAUGGGAGCAAGCCUGAUGCAGCGACGCCGCGUGAGGGAUGGAGGCGUUCGGGUUGUGAACCUCUUUCGCAAGAGAAGCAGGCCUGCUCAUUGUGGGUGGGUUGACGGUAGCUGGAUAAGAAGCGCCGGCUAACUACGUG
RNAcentral lists this ribosomal RNA (503 nucleotides) under uncultured bacterium. RNAcentral describes it as "partial 16S ribosomal RNA". It matches the Rfam family "Bacterial small subunit ribosomal RNA", at positions 28 to 507 of the family's 1533-position model. The record is from RNAcentral.